Molecule: transfer RNA, 85 nt
Filed under: Methanobacterium sp.
Lineage: Archaea; Methanobacteriati; Methanobacteriota; Methanobacteria; Methanobacteriales; Methanobacteriaceae
Description: tRNA-Ser
Rfam family: tRNA
About the family: Transfer RNA (tRNA) molecules are approximately 80 nucleotides in length.
Source: RNAcentral
GCCGGGGUGGCCCAGUCUGGUACGGCGUUGGCCUGCUAAGCCAAUGAUCCUUUGGAUCACGCGGGUUCAAAUCCCGUCCCCGGCG